RNAcentral lists this ribosomal RNA (301 nucleotides) under uncultured bacterium. RNAcentral's name for it is "partial 16S ribosomal RNA". It matches the Rfam family "Bacterial small subunit ribosomal RNA", at positions 509 to 809 of the family's 1533-position model. The record is from RNAcentral.
CAGCCGCCGCGGUAAUACAGAGGGUGCGAGCGUUAAUCGGAUUUACUGGGCGUAAAGCGUGCGUAGGCGGCUUCUUAAGUCGGAUGUGAAAUCCCUGAGCUUAACUUAGGAAUUGCAUUCGAUACUGGGAAGCUAGAGUAUGGGAGAGGAUGGUAGAAUUCCAGGUGUAGCGGUGAAAUGCGUAGAGAUCUGGAGGAAUACCGAUGGCGAAGGCAGCCAUCUGGCCUAAUACUGACGCUGAGGUACGAAAGCAUGGGGAGCAAACAGGAUUAGAUACCCCCGUAGCCCUGUCUCUUAUACA